AAGAGACGAACAGUUAGUGCUGAUUUUCAUUUGCAUAAAUUUUCAUAUAUUUUAGUGAAAAUAAUAGCGGGAGCCGAGGAGCGCUCCUGCUCAGUCGAGGCAGAGGAAAGAAAAUCUCAGGGAGCAGCGAGUCGCGGGGAAGGGAGAUAACCAUUUACACGCUCCGUGGGAACAAACUGAAGCUAUUUCCUUCAUUCUUGGACACAAGGAGUCCUCACAAACACUAAACUUUGGUCAUCCGUCCUCCUCACUCCUCCUGAUGCAGAACCUCUAGGGAAUUUAAAGGACCUGCAUCCAAACUGAACAAAGGGACGACCUUGUAAGCAGUCUCAAUGUUUAAUUUGAUGUAUUAGCGGCAGUCACACUCCAGUGCAAAGCACAAAUCUCUAAAUAUCGAGCAAGUUUGGCUCCCUUCAACCACGGAUCAUCUGCAAAAUGUUGAUUUUCACACGACAGUGAGCAUGACGUUUCUUUACAUUGUCGUCAGCAUGAAAAAUCUGUACUGUGUUUUUGCAAGUGUGCAAUAAAAACAAGCCAGCAGAA
This is a long non-coding RNA of Girardinichthys multiradiatus, 543 nucleotides long. RefSeq lists it as uncharacterized. The record is from RefSeq and is a predicted model, not a curated record. Lineage: Eukaryota; Metazoa; Chordata; Actinopteri; Cyprinodontiformes; Goodeidae. The transcript is spliced from 3 exons.